CUUAUUAUAACGCAGAGUUUAGGGCAGCCCGGGCGGGCAAGUCGCGCCUGCGGCUGGGAUCGCUCCUUCUUCUUCGGGCAGCUCUUUCGGCGUCUGGGAUCGCCCCUUUGUCUCCCGGUUUUCCCCUUUGUGUGCCCGCCUUCUAAAGUUCGUCCGGCCCUGCCCGUCGCAAUGUAACAAUCUGCCCUGAUCCAGUACAAACUACAAAGGUGUAAAAGUUAUCUUUAUCUCCUCUUCUCUCUCCUGUUUGCUGCCCUAUUUUCUCUUCUCUCCUCUUCUCUUUUAUAUCUUCUCAAAUUCCAUCAAUCUUCUCAAUCAUAUCUCCGACAAACUCAACAGGUUAUUUUUAUCUCCUCUUCUCUCUCCUGUUUGCUGCCCUAUUUUCUCUUCUCUCCUCUUCUCUUCUUCUCCAUCAUAUCGGAACUCAAAAGGUUAUCUUUAUCUCCUCUUCUCUCUCCUGUUUGCUGCCUUAUUUUAUCUUCCAUCAAUCUGAUUGUUUUUUUUCAGUAAUUGUUUUUUUUUUUAUGAUGUUGUUUUUAG
RNAcentral lists this long non-coding RNA (540 nucleotides) under Aquilegia coerulea. RNAcentral describes it as "long non-coding RNA (ACOE_LNC001995)". Lineage: Eukaryota; Viridiplantae; Streptophyta; Magnoliopsida; Ranunculales; Ranunculaceae. The record is from RNAcentral.